UGGACACGUCUCUGUCCCAUUUUCUACACAGCAGUCCGACAUGAUUGGCUUUAUCUGAAUGUUGGCUAAAGCCCCGAGAUGGAUUGGCACCAGUGUCUAGUGUUUCCCGGUAGAACAGAACCUGCUGCGACCCUGACCAGGAUAAAGAGUUUGAUGAGUAUAAAAUGAAUUGAUAAAUGGGAGAAGGAAUCUUCUGUCAAAUUGAAGGAGCUCAGAAGAGGACGUGAAUUCCAGCUGGAUCUGAGCUGUGUCAGCAAAACCUCCUGAAAUCUGUGUCAUUAAAAUGGACUAGCUUGAAUUUUCAUCCUUUAUCAGCACGUCAGUGAAGUUUGGUGGUUCUGACGGAAACCUGUUUACCCACCAGAGGUUGUCAAGACCAACAAUGCCAUGCCAACAAUGCUGCUCCUGCUAGAUGUGACAGAAGCCUGGCGUGUUUGCACCAAAAAUGUCAGGAACUCACUACAGACUUUAUCACAGACUAUUAUUUAUUGCCAGUUAUAACAUUUAGUUCAAUUUAAUUUUGUGUUUGUAUGAUUUGUGUAAAUUCUAUUCAUUUAAAUUAUCCACCAGGCCACCCAAGGAGGACGGGGGGCCCUGCUGAGUCUGGUUCCUCUCAAGGUUUUUUCCUGUAUUUUAAGAGUUUUUCCUUGCCACUGUCGCCCUCGUCUUGCUCAAUAGAAGGUUUUUGGUCUGUCGGUCCUGGAGUCUGUAAAGUUGCUUUGAGGCAAUGUCCAUUGUAAAAAGCACUAUACAAAUAAAUUUGACUUGACUUGACCCUGUUUGUGCCACUGGUACUCCCCCCACAGACACCAAAUCCAGUUGUGUCCAACUGCAGCUUCUCUCUUUCUCGUUCCUACCCACUGUUCCCUCUGGCACACACAGCCACCAUUCUCUUCUUUUCACUUGCUAGGGCCGAGGUUUCGCAGACCGCAGUAUUGAAUCUGGAAAGCCACGCACUGCUGUCUGUGAUCAGCUGACCCCUUGCAGUUGCUUGACCAUCAGUACAGAUUGCAAUUGCCCAGCAAUGAGAAACCCACUGUCUCUCCCCUGUGUACAUUUACAUUUUUGGCUUUUAGCAGACGCUUUUAUCCAAAGCGACAGUACAUGUACAGUACCAUGACAGUAUAUUAUCUAAGCAAUUGAGGUUUAAGGGCCUUGUUCAAGGGCCCGACAGUGGCAACCUGGCAACCUUUAGAUUACUAGUUCGGUACCUUAACCACUAGGCUACAACUGUGUAGGCACCCGGCCGGUGAGAUUUAAAAUUAAGAGACCCCAGCACUGAUGGGCUAGACAUUUAUGCACUUUAUUUAUUUAUUUAUUUAUUGUUGUUCUAUUGCUGGGUGGCACAGUGUUUUAGUGGGUAGCACUGUCGCCUCACAGCAAGAAGGUCCUGGGUUCGAUCCCCAGGCGUGGGUUUCCUCUGGGAGCUCCGGUUUCCUCCCACAGUCCAAAAACAUGCAGUCAGAUUAAUUGGAGACACUGAUUUGCCCUAUAAGUGUGUGUGUGUGUAUGUGUGUGUGCGUGUGUAUGUAUGUUUGUCUGCCCUGCGAUGGACUGGCGUCCCAUCCAGGGUGUUACUGUGUGCCUUGCGCCCAUUGAAAAGCUGGGACAGGCUCCAGCACCCCCCCCAGUGACCCUAAUUGGAUAAGCAAAUAAGACAAUGAAUGAAUGAAUGAAUGAAUGUUCUAUUGCCAUCGGAACCUUAAUGUAAAGAAUCACUCUUAUAUCUAACAUUAAACAGUGCAUUAAAAUAGCACAUUUAACACAGCAGUUCUAAUAAAAUAAAACACGCCUGAUAAACUGUAAAUUCUAGUAACCUCUACACCCUAAAGCAUGAAACAGCUCCCUUAUUUAUUUAUCUUUUUUUAACUUCUUCUAUUUUAUUGAUUUUUUGUUCUGUUAAAAUUUUAUUGCUCCGGCACCUCAGUGCAGCUCGGCUGCUUCUAUUUAUUUCCCCCAAGUUUUGUGUCUCCAAACAGAAUAAAAGUGAUGUUAGAGUCCA
Molecule: long non-coding RNA, 2002 nt
Organism: Trichomycterus rosablanca
Lineage: Eukaryota; Metazoa; Chordata; Actinopteri; Siluriformes; Trichomycteridae
Exons: 4
Source: RefSeq, a predicted model, not a curated record